Molecule: ribosomal RNA, 433 nt
Filed under: uncultured bacterium
Lineage: Bacteria
Description: partial 16S ribosomal RNA
Rfam family: Bacterial small subunit ribosomal RNA
Source: RNAcentral
AACGAACGCUGGCGGCAUGCCUAACACAUGCAAGUCGAACGAGACCUUCGGGUCUAGUGGCGAACGGGUGCGUAACGCGUGGGAACCUGCCCUUAGGUUCGGAAUAACUCCCCGAAAGGGGUGCUAAUACCGGAUAAUGUCUUCGGACCAAAGAUUUAUCGCCUUUGGAUGGGCCCGCGUUGGAUUAGCUAGUUGGUAGGGUAAAAGCCUACCAAGGCGACGAUCCAUAGCUGGUCUGAGAGGAUGAUCAGCCACACUGGGACUGAGACACGGCCCAGACUCCUACGGGAGGCAGCAGUGGGGAAUAUUGGACAAUGGGCGAAAGCCUGAUCCAGCAAUGCCGCGUGAGUGAUGAAGGCCUUAGGGUUGUAAAGCUCUUUUACCCGGGAUGAUAAUGACAGUACCGGGAGAAUAAGCUCCGGCUAACUCCAUG